AGGAAUAUUGGUCAAUGGGCGCAAGCCUGAACCAGCCAUCCCGCGUGCAGGAAGACGGCCCUAUGGGUUGUAAACUGCUUUUCCAGGGGGAGAAUUUUUCUGUCGUGACAGGAAUUGACGGUACCCUGGGAAUAAGCAUCGGCUAACUCCGUGCCAGCAGCCGCGGUAAUACGGAGGAUGCGAGCGUUAUCCGGAUUGAUUGGGCUUAAAGGGUGCGUAGGCGGAUUGAUAAGUCAGUGGUGAAAACCUGCAGCUUAACUGUAGACUUGCCGUUGAUACUGUCAGUCUUGAGUGUGGUCAAGGUAGGCGGAAUGUGUAAUGUAGCGGUGAAAUGCUUAGAUAUUACACAGAACACCGAUUGCGAAGGCAGCUUACUGGGCCAUUACUGACGCUGAUGCACGAAAG
RNAcentral lists this ribosomal RNA (405 nucleotides) under uncultured bacterium. RNAcentral describes it as "bacterial SSU rRNA". It matches the Rfam family "Bacterial small subunit ribosomal RNA", at positions 357 to 759 of the family's 1533-position model. The record is from RNAcentral.